ACUAUCAGGUGAGCUAGCUAGGUUUCAUGCGGACUUUUAAUCCGCAGGUCCCAGGUUCGAGCCCUGGUGGGGGCACCA
Molecule: transfer RNA, 78 nt
Filed under: Mycobacteroides abscessus subsp. abscessus
Lineage: Bacteria; Bacillati; Actinomycetota; Actinomycetes; Mycobacteriales; Mycobacteriaceae
Description: tRNA-Lys(ttt)
Source: RNAcentral